AUUGAAGCCUUGGUGACUGAGCGGCGGACGGGUGAGUAACGCGUGGGUAACCUGCCUCAUACAGGGGGAUAACAGUUGGAAACGGCUGCUAAUACCGCAUAAGCGCACAGUGCUGCAUGGCACAGUGUGAAAACUCCGGUGGUAUGAGAUGGACCCGCGUCUGAUUAGCUAGUUGGUGGGGUGACGGCCGUACCAAGGCGACGAUCAGUAGCCGGCCUGAGAGGGUGAACGGCCCACAUUGGGACUGAGACACGGCCCAAACUCC
Molecule: ribosomal RNA, 265 nt
Filed under: uncultured Lachnospiraceae bacterium
Lineage: Bacteria; Bacillati; Bacillota; Clostridia; Lachnospirales; Lachnospiraceae
Description: partial 16S ribosomal RNA
Rfam family: Bacterial small subunit ribosomal RNA
Source: RNAcentral